ACUGUCUGCUUGAUUUAGGAUAAUGUCAUAUGUUUUUAUAGUGUCAUUUUUAACAAGAAUAGCUUUGUUUUGUGUAGAUUCGUAUGUUGGAUUUAGUGCUUAAGGCAUCACCUCAAGAUUCUAAGGAGCCUCAAACCGCUCGCAUCCUUCUUUACAAGUUAUUCUAUGAUCAAACUGAUCAAGGAAUGACUCAGUUCCUUUUAAACCAAAUCAAAUCAUUUGAUACUCAUAAACAAGCCAAAAGGUGAUGAAGUAAAAGCUGGGCAGCCUCUUAAGGUCAAUCUUGAAGUAGGCAGCGUCAUACACAUUUCCCAGGCAGCACUGGGUGAAGGAAAGAAGGGAAAAGGAAAUGACAUUGUCCCUCUUCAAGUGAAUAUUAAUGGCAAGAAAUUAGUUCUAGGAUCACUUUCUGCAGGGAAGUUCCCUCAAGUUUCAUUUGAUUUGGUGUUUAAGAAAGAAUUUGAGCUGUCACAUGACUGGAAAGAUGGGAGUGUCUACUUUUGUGGAUAUUCGGCAGAUAAUCAGUUUGAAUAUCCUUUACAUUUGUUCCUAGCUAACACCGGACAAGCCUCUUUCCUUAGGAAGCACAAUUAGUACGACUACUGCCAAGAUCGGACAUGCAUACGGAGGAUGGAUUGCUGACACACUUGUGAGCAAAGGUCUUUCCGUAACAACAGUUCGUAAG
This is a non-coding RNA of Camellia sinensis, 685 nucleotides long. The record is from RefSeq and is a predicted model, not a curated record. NCBI's taxonomy places the organism in Eukaryota, Viridiplantae, Streptophyta, Magnoliopsida, Ericales, Theaceae.